Molecule: long non-coding RNA, 3114 nt
Filed under: Sus scrofa (pig)
Lineage: Eukaryota; Metazoa; Chordata; Mammalia; Artiodactyla; Suidae
Description: lncRNA (ENSSSCG00040033867.1)
Source: RNAcentral
GAUCAUGAAUCAGGAUUAUUUUAUAGAACAAUCUUUUAUUUCCCUACAGGUAAUUUUAUAUUCAGUGUUUGAUAGGAGAAUAUAUCUGAAAAAUUACUAUUUUAUUUUUUCUUUUAAUCCUUAAUGACACUUUCCUAUCUGCUGGUGUACUCACUAAAAUUUUCCUUAUACUUUUCUCAGUCAUAUGGUAACAUGAUUAUGCCAUUAGCAAUAGCAUUUUCUGUAUUCUUUUUUUUUAAUUUUUAAAAAUUUUUAUUUGUUUUGCUUUUUAGGGGGCUGCAUUUGUGGCAUAUGGAAAUUCCAAGGCUAGGAAUCGAAUUGGACCUGCAGCUGCUGGCCACCCCACAGACACAGUAAUGCCAGAUCUGAGCCACAUCUGUGACCUACAUCGCAGCUUGCAACCUAUGCCGCAGCAUGCCGGAUCCUUAACCCACUGAGCGAGGACAGGGUCAAACCCACAUUCUCAUGGAUAUUGCUGGUAUUCUUAACCUGCUGAGCCACAACGGAAACUCCUUUUAUUGAUAUUUGAGAUAAAUUCUGAAGUCUGAAUAACAGUCACUUGUCAGUGAAGAUGAGGGAAAGGAAAAAGGAAGAAAUAUCUUAAAAAUUUUCCUCUGCUGUCAAAAUUUCACUUUAUUGCCUUAAAAUAUUAGAAUAAGAUAAAAAGCAAGCUAAGUGAAUUAUGUAAUUAUAAAUUAAAGAUAUCUCUAGUAUUUGAAGUGCGUUUUAGAAAAGAAAUCUUACUUUUUCUAUAGAAUUGAGACUUCCAGAACACCCAAUCCACUUCUCACAGAUGAUAGAACUAAAUCCCAGAACAACUAAAUAGGUAGCCCAAGCUUUCUCAGUGUUUGAGCCAAGAGUUAACUCAGGUGGUUCUGAGUGGCAGUACUGUUUGCCUGUACCAAGGUUACUUUCAGUUAGAUAGCCUCUCACCUAAGCAGCAACCUAAGUGGGGAAAUAAGGGGAAGAUUCAUAAGCAAGAAACCUCUCCACUAGUGUCUCCAGGAAUGGCAGACAUCCCUGGUUAUCUCAUAUUCUGUGGUUCAGUUACGGUUUUGUCUGAGUUUAGAAGGUGGCCCGUAUAUCUAAAGUUUGUUUUUAAAAGGUGUCAGAGACUGUGGAAACUUAUGGCAUAUGUGCAUGAGUCUCCUUUAUUAACCUCUUAGACCCCAGGAGAGCAGCUGCUGAACUCUGUCUGGAGUCACUGGUCAUCAUGGUGGUUUCCUCUGGAAGAAUUUAUAGUACUAUUUUCUGAGCUAUUACUUGUUCAGAGACCUUAGGGGGUGGAAGUGGGGUGGGGCAGUACUCUUGACAUUGUUGCCUCCUGCAUGGUGGGGAGAGAGGGGAAAUUAGCUGUCCCCUGCCAGGUGGAAAUUGCACAUCUGUGGAUAGGGGUUCUAUUUUACAGAGUUGUGAAAUCACACAAAGACAUUGCAAAGCUCAAAGCCUUCUUAGAAUCAUAGCCUGGGUGUGUGGGAUGGUGUCUUGGUUUUUCAUUGAAAACACCCAGUUAUCUUUGGUCUAUUCAGAAUCUUUCACAAAUUUUUUUCCUAUAAUAACCUGGCGUCGUAUAUUCAGUUCAUGAAUGCCAGUAAAGGUUCUAGAGCAGGCUUGCUGGAUGUAACAGGUAUGACUAUCUAAAAUAUCUUUAACAAAAGUAUUAUUGUUUUUUUAUCUUUUUUUUUUUUUAAAGACUCAGUUAGCACCGUAAUUGAAGCUCUAAGUAAAAUAGAUUCUUCAGAUGGAGGAAUUUCAGCAAAUAAUCUCAGUCAUGCAACUUCAGCAGCCCCAUCAGGACUUGUAAGUGGGGGAGAAAACCUAAAGCUCUUCCUUCUCUGCAGAUUUUUUUCUUUACUUUUCUCUUCUUUUCUUUUACACACACACAAAAUCAUUUUCCAAGCUCUUAACUAAUUUUUUUUUUCUUUUUAACUUCUUAGGGCCUCAUCUGUGGCUUAUGGAGGUUCCCAGGCUAGGGGUCGAAUUGGAGCUGUAGCUGCCAGCCUACACCACAGCCACAGCAACAUGGGAUCCGAGCUACAUCUGCCACCUACACCACAGCUCAUGGCAAUGCUGGAUCCUUAACCCGUUGAGCAAGGCCAGGGAUUGAACCGGCAUCCUCAUGAAUACUAGUCAGGUUCAUUAACCAUUGAACCACAACAGGAACUCCAAGCUAUUAACUUAUUGUUAAUAGGAAAGAUAAGUGACCAUAAAAUUUUCUAUAAAACAUGUACUAGAUAUUUAUAGAAUUUGAAUGAACUUAAGGCUAAAAUAUUAAAUGUAACUUACCUUCUUCAGUGUAAUAGACAAUGGUUUUUUUUUGAGCAUUUUUGAUAAUCCCACUUUAGCCACUUUCUACCUUUUUAGAAAAGGAUGUUUGAUUUAGUGCCUCUUUUAAGUUCAUUUAAGUUUUUUAACAUAAAAGGAGUUUUUUAACCCUUUUUGAGGUUUUUUUUUUUUUUUUUUGUCUUUUUAGGGCUGCACCCAUGGCAUAUGGAGGUUCCCAGGCUAGGGGUCUAAUCGGAGCUAUAGCUGCCGGCCUGCACCACAGCUACAGCAACGCCAGAUCUGAGCCGUGUCUGCAACCUACACCACAGCUCAUAGCAACGCCAGAUCCUUAACCCACUGAGCGAGACGAGGCCAGGGAUUCAACCUGAAACCUCAUGGUUUCUAGUUGGAUUCGUUUCCGCUGCGCCAUGAUGGGAACUCCUCUGAGUUUUUUAAGGAAGAGCAUUGAUAGAUUACAUUUUGAAAGUAUUUCAACAUAAUUGCAAGUUGUGUCAGAAAUUCUAAUAGAUUUGUGGUUAUAGCUUACGUGAAGUUUGCUGAUUUACUGCCUCCAGUACUUCUUUCAAAAAGUUGAAGUUUGCUGAUUUACUGCCUCCAGUACUUCUUUCAAAAAGUUAGAGCAUGUGGGGAGUUCCCAUUGUGGCUCAGCUGUAACAAACCUAACCAGUAUCCAUGAGGAUGCACGUUCAAUCCCUGCCCUUGCUCAGUGGGUUAAGGGUCUGGGUUGUUGUGGCUGUGGCAUAGGCCGGCAGCUACAGCUCUGAUUUGACCCCUAGCCUGGAAACUUCCAUAUGCUGUGAGUGCGGCCCUAAAAAGACCAAAAAAAAA